This 576-nucleotide ribosomal RNA is filed under the name Saccharomyces cerevisiae (brewer's yeast). Its description in RNAcentral is "LSU rRNA". It matches the Rfam family "Eukaryotic large subunit ribosomal RNA", at positions 67 to 658 of the family's 3401-position model. The record is from RNAcentral. Lineage: Eukaryota; Fungi; Ascomycota; Saccharomycetes; Saccharomycetales; Saccharomycetaceae.
ACACGGGGAUGCCUUAGUACGGCGAGUGAAGCGGCAAAAGCUCAAAUUUGAAAUCUGGUACCUUCGGUGCCCGAGUUGUAAUUUGGAGAGGGCAACUUUGGGGCCGUUCCUUGUCUAUGUUCCUUGGAACAGGACGUCAUAGAGGGUGAGAAUCCCGUGUGGCGAGGAGUGCGGUUCUUUGUAAAGUGCCUUCGAAGAGUCGAGUUGUUUGGGAAUGCAGCUCUAAGUGGGUGGUAAAUUCCAUCUAAAGCUAAAUAUUGGCGAGAGACCGAUAGCGAACAAGUACAGUGAUGGAAAGAUGAAAAGAACUUUGAAAAGAGAGUGAAAAAGUACGUGAAAUUGUUGAAAGGGAAGGGCAUUUGAUCAGACAUGGUGUUUUGUGCCCUCUGCUCCUUGUGGGUAGGGGAAUCUCGCAUUUCACUGGGCCAGCAUCAGUUUUGGUGGCAGGAUAAAUCCAUAGGAAUGUAGCUUGCCUCGGUAAGUAUUAUAGCCUGUGGGAAUACUGCCAGCUGGGACUGAGGACUGCGACGUAAGUCAAGGAUGCUGGCAUAAUGGUUAUAUGCCGCCCGUCUUGAA